RNAcentral lists this long non-coding RNA (9113 nucleotides) under Homo sapiens (human). Its description in RNAcentral is "HSALNT0404312". The record is from RNAcentral. Lineage: Eukaryota; Metazoa; Chordata; Mammalia; Primates; Hominidae.
AGUUUUCCGGCAAGAUGAGACAGGUAGGUCGCUCUAAUGCUUAGACCGCGGGGCCGCCCAGCUCAGGCAAGCCAGUGGGGGUGGGGGCUGGGGUGGAGGAUCCUGCCGCCUGCAGUCUGGGGAUCACAGAAGGGGUAAAAGGUUGGGGGAGGUCAGGGGGUAGGGAAUAUUUGCAUGGGGGCUCAGAUCCCCCACCUCUGCAAGUCUCCCCUCCCUUCCUCCAACACCCUGAAGACCCCACAUUCUACCUGUGUGUGGGUGUAGGGCAAGGGGUGCUAUGUUGGGGGCAUGCAGUGCUGUAGGCAUGGGCAGUGUUGGGUGGCUGUGAGGAUUCUGUGAAACAGGACAGAGGCUCCAGGGGUGGGGGCACAGGUCUUAGAGCCAGGCUGGGUGGGGCCGCCCAGCUGGCCGCAGGGUGAGGGGCAGAUGCUAGCCCCACCUCGCCUGGGGCAUUUUCCUUUGAAAAGGAGUCCAGAUGACGAGUGCCAGAGCCCAGAAGUCUUGAGGACACCCUGGCACCCACUACAGAAUGUGGUUUUCUGAAACCAAAUGACAGCGCCCCCAAGAUGGAGUGGCUCUGGGCAUCCUUAGCGCCUUGGGGGGUGGUGUUGGCGGGAGGUGCCUUGGCUUGGAAUGUUCAUUUCUUCUGGAAGCACCUGCUGGCUGCUCCACGUCUGGCUGUCCUGGGAAGUUUCGCCCAGGGGUCUGCCCCCAGGGUCUCUCUCGGAGGUUGAGCUACUCCAGCUGGAGCUGUGAACACCAGCCAGCAAACCCCAGGCCAACCACUGGGACCACUGGGCCUCACAAUCAGCCCUCCUGCCCGGGAAGUAAGCCAGGCUAGUGACUGCUCCACAAGAUGCCAGUGCUGUUUGUAAACACACGACCCGGCUCACGAGACCUCUUCCUUGACUGUCAGAGGGGCUGUGCUGUGAGGACACGGGCUUCUCGACCCCAGAGGGAGCUGGGGUCCACUCAUGGGUGGGGCAGGCCUGCUGCCAGGACACCCAGGACCCCAUGGUAACCUGUAAACCUCCCCCCGCCACCCACCCACUGUGUGCCAAGUUCCAACAGGGACCUGAAGCAGGUGCUGCUAGGCUGCCCACAUACCAGCCUGGAAGGGGCCAUGCAACCUGGUGGUUCCCUGUGCUCCGGAACUAAGGCAGAGCAGGGAGGGAGCCUCCCCAGAAGGCUGACAAGGACCCUGGGGGCUGUCACUCAGAAGACAGGGAAAACCUGGGGCAAGGGCUCCCGCCAGCGACAUCGGUCAGCCCAGCGACAGCGCUCCAUCCAAGCAGCCGCUGCUUAUGUGCAAAAUCACAAAGGCUGUCUGAGGACCCUGUCCAAGCAGCCACUGCUUAGGUGCAGUCACAGAAGCCAUCUGCGGACCGAAAGAGCAUCGAGGCCGGCAGCUUUUGCACUGUUUGCCUGCCUUUAGCAGAACAGCUCUGCCUUCUUUAGAGGAAGCUGCGAAGAUGCUGAUAGACCGAAGGCGGCCCCACAUGAUCCGCUGGGCUCCCCCAGCCCUGUCUGAGCCUGCAGGGGCUCCUGGAAGCCACAGCAUGAAGCCCCCCCUCUGUCCCAGCAUGUCUGCUCAUGGGGAGAUGGGGGCCCGUGGGUGAGGCAAGUUCCCUCUCACAUUCCAUGCCGGCCCCAGAUGAGUCAGUUUAAUCCUGUAAGCCUGGGUCCGGGCGCUGCCCCUUUCUGAACAUAGCAUUGGGUUGAAAGCCAGCCCCACGGUUCAUUGACACAUUGUUGAGGACUGCUUUCCCACGACAACAGCAGAGGCGCGUGACAGAGCGCAGCAUGGCCCACAAAACUGAAAAUGUUCAGGAUAUGCCUCAUUCACAGAGCUGUUUGGCUGUCCCCUGCCAAAAACAAUCAAACAACGGAGCUCCAGGGUGGAUCCAGGAAGGAGAAGGAGCAGAUUGGGCUGGGAGGGGCUGACAGCACCCGGUCGGGUUAGACAUGGGUCGUCUGAGCCGCAGCUGAACCUGGCGUUGGAAAUCUCCCGUCUGAGUGGCUUACUACACAGCUUCAGCACACUGGGCCUCCACGACCGGACCCAGGGGCUUCCUUCUGAGGAGUUAUCUUCAUAUCUUGAAGUUGGUGGAGGGAUCGCAAGACCCUUUUGCUGGAAGGGAGUUAAAGAGCCAGAAACCCUUCCGGCCUCUUGUCACCUCCUCUGAUUUAGCACCUGCUGUUUCUGUGAUAUUUUAUAGACUUACCUGACCUCCAGAAAAUUCAAGGAGUUUGCCAGUGGGGGACUGUCAAGCUGCUGGAGAGGUGGUCGUCACGAUUUAAGCCCGUACUCACACGCUUGCUGGAUAAACAAGAACCCCCUCCCUCUGCGGGUGACACCCCCAGCGUGUGACAGUUUUUAGAAUCAGAACUGCUGAGGGGCACUGUCAGGUUCCCCCGUAAGCAAUUAUACCCACCUUGGCCCUGCGGAUUUCAGAGAAGACAUGUUGGUCCCUUUGAUUUUAAAAAGUCAAUCUCUGCAUGAAGACAUUGAAACAAACAAGAGGGCUUGGGCAUCAGCUACAGACAUGCAGUGAGUCACAGCAGCACACUUUCCCGACCUUUGCCCCGCGUCUGACAGAAGGGAAGUGAACCUCUUUUGACACAGCCCUUGUGAAGUCCCCUUAGCUUUGUCGUGUUCUUUCCUGUGAGCAGAGCUCAAGGCACAUGGCUUUGCCACUUCUGCAGCGGACCUUAAAGUGGAAGAACGCGCCUUCACAUGCUGGCUGGAAAUGCGAAGUUCCCGAACACCCAGACAGUGUUCCUGCCAGUGUCCUGGCUGGUUUUACAGUGUGAACACUGGGGCUUCUCCUUAAGUGUCCCGGCUUCAAGUCAGCCCUGCAGGUUUUCCUCCUCUGUGUGCAGCCUCUCCUGGAGGACCCUCUCAUGCCUAGCCCCAGGGUGGAUGAACACUGGAUCCUCCACAGGGCUUACUCCUUCUCCAAGUGACCCUCCUGCCAGGGCAGCCCCUGUGCCCCAUCUUGUGGUGACACACACACCUGGCAAACGUGAGUGUUUGGGGGCUCAUAGACUACACAGAGCUCAUUACAAUUGCAUCUUUUUGUUGUUGUUGUUGAGACAGAGUCUCACCCUGUCACCUAGGCUGGAGUGUAGUGGUGCGAUCUCGGCUCACUGCAACCUCUGCCUCCCAGGUUCAAGCGAUUCUCUUGCCUCAUCCUUCUGAGUACCUGGGAUUACAGGUGCCUAUCACCACCCCGGGCUGAUUUUUGUAUUUUUAGUAGAGACAGGGUUUCACCAUGUUGGCCAGGCUGGUCUCGAACUCCUGACCUCAAGUGAUCCUCCCAUUUUGGCCUCCCAAAGUGCUGGGAUUACAGACGUGAGCCACCACUCCUGGUUGCAUCUUUGAUCCUCUAAAUAUCAAUGGUUCCGUUACUGGUGCAAAGGAAUGCACCUCUAAGGAUAAACACUGGCAAGGUGUGUUAGUCUGUUCUCAUGCUGCUGAUAAAGACACACCUGAGACUGGGUAAUUUAUAGAGAAAAAGAGGCUUAAUGGACUCACAGUUCCAUGUGGCUGGGGAGGCCUCACAGUCUUGGCAGAAGGUGAAGGCAGGUCUUACAUGGUGACAGCGAAGAGAGAGAAAGAGAGCCAAGUGAAAGGGGCUUCCUCUUAUAAAACUAUCAUAUCUCAUGAGACCCUACCAUAAGAACCGUGUGGGGGAAAACCCCAUGACUCAAUUAUCUCCCACCAGGUCCCUCCCACAACAUGUGGGAAUUAUGGGAGCUACAAGUGAAGAUGAGAUUUGGGUGGGGCCACAGCCAAACCAUAUAUCACAAGGUGAUUUGUUAGCCAAGCUAGAUGAACAGGGGCUGAAAUACUAGAUGACAUGAUCAUUGUCUCUGCUCUUUCCUGAGCAUGGGCGGCCCCUCCAAAGAUCACUCUCACCCUCCGGAUCUCAGAUCCAAUAUCACCUCUUCCGAGAGGCCUUCCUGACUACCGGACCCAAAGAUGGGCUGCCAUGCCCCGUCCCCAGCAGCUGCACCCGACGUCCUCACCAUGUUGACUCUCUUGACGGCACAGAACCUGCCAUCAUUUUGGGUACUGGUGUGUUGUCCGUCUCCACCUGGAGGAUGCCAGCUUCAGGGAAGUAGACAUCACAGAUGCAUGGACCUUCAAGUCUGCAGUGCAUAACACAGUGCUGUGCAUAGGGAGGAGCCCCAUAAAUAUUUGUGGAAUGAGAGAAAGAAAAAAGGAGUGAAUGAAUGACUACAGGCUAUUAUCUAUGUUAAUGCAAUUACCAGUAGCAUUUUGCUGCAUUGGGGUCCAUUCAUUCUCAGCUUCUAGUUUUUUCUCCUCCUUCUAUCCUGCUGCAGAUUGCUCCACCCACUGUUGUAGGUGAGCCCCUGUCCCACGGCAGGGCCACUGAACCUGGAAGCUAAAUUGAAGCUGCCUCAGUUAGGAAGCAGAUCUCAGAUGCCAUGUGGGACCAGAGACUUUGUAAGUCCCCAGGGGAGGUUAGGGACCAUGCAAGGCUGACCCCAUUGCUACAAACACCGAACGCCAGCUGCAUCACGCAGCAGAGUGUCCCAGCCACAACUGCAGGGGGCCACUGGACCACCAUGAGCCUGGGAGCCCUGGCUCUUGACAGAGGUCCUGGGGUGAUGCCCGGGACCCUCCACAAGGGCGGGAAGCCAAGAGAGUCCUCUGGGGACAGAGGCUUUUGUAGGAGCCCAGAAACUUUGCAUCCUAAGGGACGAUGGCAUUCCUCCUUGCGGGGAUGGUGCAAAAGCUCAGGCUUGUUGGCUUAUUUGAGCUGCCAUCUCCUCCCUUGUUUUAUGGGUUAGACUGAUGUGGCUGGAAUGGAGUAUGGUAUUGAGAUCAGGAGGAUCUGAUGGGAUCCUCAUCAUAUGAUCCAUCCUCAUGAUGUGAAUGGAAUGGAGUAUGGUACUGAGAUGGGAUCAGGAGGCCCCAGCCCACUUCUCCAAGAAACUAAAAAAAACUGUGGAUGCCUAGGUGGGCGGAUCGCUUGAGGUCAGGAGUUUGAGGCCAACCUGGCCAACACGGUGAAACCCCGUCUCUACUAAAAAUACAAAAAUUAGCCGGGUGUGGUGGCGUGCGUCUGUAGUCCUAGCUACUAGAGAGGUUGAGGCAGGAGAAUCACUUGAAUCCAGGAGGCAGAGGUUGCAGUGAGCCAAGAUCGCGCCCCUGCACUCCAGCCUGGGCAACAGAGCGAGACUCUAUCACACACACACACACACACACACACACACACACACACACACACACAAUUUUGGUAAAUAUACAUAAAUAAAAUGUACUAUGUUAACCAAUCAUAGAUGCACAAUUCCGUAGUGCUAAGUAUAUUCACACUGGUGUGCAAACAACCUCCAGAACUUUUUCAUCUUGCAAAACUGCAACUUUGUGUCCAUGUAAAGCAACCCCCCUUUCCUCCGUCCCCCGAGUCCCUGGCAAGCACCCCCAAGGGAUGUUUUAGUGACUUCAGUGUCUCCACGUGAUAAGGAUGUUGAGAAUUUGAGGUGAGCACCAACAUGUCAGGUGCUACACAGUGGCCCAUGAGAGAUUUAUAUAUAAAUUAUUUCCUGGCAGCCGAGCCCCAUGGCUCAUGCCUGUAAUCCCAACAGUUUGGGAGGCCGAGUCAGGUGGAUCACUUGAGCCCAGGAGUCUGAGACCAGCCUGGGCAACAUGGUGAGACCCCUGUCUCUACCCACUAAUAAUACUAAUUAUCUUCAUCUCCUGGAUCUCCAGUGCAACAGAGAAGGAUGCAGGUUUAGAGAAGGGCCUGUGGAGGCUCAGUUCCCAGCAGUGUGACAUUGGGCACCUUGGGGCUCACACCUGACAGUGACGUUGGGGAUCCCUGCCUGGCUGCACCGUGCUGUUCCCUCUGCCCUUCCCAGCACCGUGGGUGAAGCUGACUCCUUCUCCCCGCUGGCCUCAGCCCUCUCCCACCUCCUAAAGAGGCAGCCCCAAAGGGACGGCCGUGCCCACCCAGCCCGUGCCACUCUUGCAUCCCUUUCUGCUGUUUUCCUUCAGAGCACCUGGCUCUAGAGCCACAGGUCCUCACAGUGGGUGUCUCCCAAGGCUACCAUUUCUCAGCACAUCCUGGAGAGGGUGAGAGAGAGCACUGAGUGGACCAUCCAAGAGCACGGCCGCAUCCCAAAAGUCCUGCUUCGGAAUGGACUGACUUGUGUGAGGCAUCUGCAGCUGCCCUACAGAGGUUGUGGGGGACAGGCUUUCAGCUGCAAAAUGUUCCCGUAGCUGCUUCUUCCUUCACGCUUGACCUUCUGAAAUCAACUAUGCGUUACUUCUGAAAUUUAAAAAAUUCCAGAAAAAAAAAGAGAAGAAAAUCCAGACAGUCUAAAGAAAGUGUCUCAAGCAAUUCUGCCGAUGAACUGGGUUUGGAAAUGCUAACUUCUACCCUGGAAUGUUGGCAUGGCCAAGGUGAUGCCAACUGGCUCCGGGUAGCGGGAUGGAGUGAGAGUGUUUGGCAAAGGUUGCAGACUGGUGACCUGUGAGUCAGCCGGAUCUGACCAGUCCAGUGCCCUGGGCCAAGCCUUCCCAGUGUAGGGGAGUUGCUCACACUGCAGUUCACAGAGUCCCCGGGGGCUGGCGCACUCUGUACUUCCUGCCUGGCCCUGUAGGCGUUCAGCUUUGCAAUAGCUGGUGGGGAGUGGGGGCAGAGGGGGGCAGCUCCUCCAACUGCCGUAAAGCUGAACCUCAGCCCUGUCCCAGGAAUCAGGGCUGCCCACAUGAGGGCAGGUGCGUGCCGAGGUGGCCCCACCCGGAUCCCUGUACCUGGAGCAGUGUUCUGGGCCUAAUGGCAGCCUCCAGAAGUGACCACUUACUCCCAGCCUACAACCAGGGCCUCACUGCCUGAUGUGGGGUACAGCCACAGCCCCUUUCCUCAGCGAGGGGCAACGCAGUGGUGUGACCACACGCAGAGGCUGUCUCGGCUCUUUCCUUCCCCACAGCCCCCGGCUUGCUCAAGGCCCCCUCCCAUUGCCACUCAUCUUUUCAAUAGACUGGCCAUGAGAAUCCGUCUCUCAGGCUGUGGGUCUAGGGAAGGGGUCCCAGGAAGCAGACUCUGCAGAUGAGACCCUGUCCAGGUGGGAUCCCUGCCAGUUGGGUGGCCCUGAGGGUCCCAGCACCUGGGAUGAGAAGAUUCUCAGCCCCAGUGUCCAGGGAGCUUCCCCUCAGCUGGGUGAGUGGGUAGGUGGCAGUGGAGGGAGGCACAGUGGCUGGAAGGUCAUGGGAAUAGUGGUUGUAAAGGCUAGAAGUGGGCAGCUACACCUUCAAAGAGGAAAACAGGCUGUCUUGGGGCUGAAGUCAAGGGUCUGAGACACGGGGAGGGGACCCCAAGCCUUGGGGGGGAAAUACUUGGGCAGGUGCAUCUGAAGUCUUUAAACGCCAGAUUCCACCUAAUUCUCUGGGCUUGCAAAAGUGGUCCCCUGCCCCUUGUUCAAAGAUAGAUUCCCCCGUUCACCCUCACCCUCUCUUCUGCUUAAAGGUAGAAAGGGGUCUGGUAUAGCGGUGUCUUGUGGGACAAAUCUUGGCUUCCUCAGCACCUGCCUCCCUCUCCUUCCUGGCCUGACCUCUGGGUGUCUGGUCAAAUCGCAGCACUGCCUGGCUGACACCUGGAGCAGGACCCAGAAGACCAUCCCUGAAGGGGAGUCUCCAGGGCUUUGGAUCCAGGGAAACAGGGUGGGGAACCCCUGGGAACCCCAGAGUCGGUAUGAAGAUUCUUUUAAGCUGAAGUCAUGUAAGAAAGAUUUAAUAGAUGCAGAAAGAAACCUUCUUAGAACUUCUCUCAUCUCACUAAAAGAAACUUCUAAGAGGUGAGAAGUGCCCUAAUUCCCUCUUUGAGGUGGCUUCUCCUCCCAGGAGAGAGAUCCAGAAUAAACCUGCUAUGAAUUCCUUCUCCAGGGGAGUUUUGUGACCAUGAUGAACACUCACAUCUGCAUAAACAAACUCUAUCCUUCACUUUCUCAUCUCCCAUUUGUCCUGCUAAAAGCCCAUGUGUCUUUCCUAAAGCAACUUUGUUCUUCCUUAGAAACCUGUCUCCUUCUCCCUUUCCCCUAUAAUUUAGGCACAUGCUAUGGUCUGAAUGUUUGUGUCUCUCCAAAAUCCCUGUGUUGAAAUCUAAUCUCUAACCUUGUGGAUUAAGAGGUGGGGAUUUGGGGGAGAUUAAAUCCGGAGGGCCCCACCCUCAUCCCUGGGAUUGGUGCCCUUAAAAAAGAGGUGGAAGAGGCUGCCUUAUCCCUUCCAUUGCGUGAAGAUGCAGGCAGAAAGUGCCAUCUUGAAAGCAGAGAGCGUGCCCUCACCACACACGGAAUCUGCUGGCACUAGGGAGGUAGGAGGUGAGGCUUGACUCUGGAGGUGGGGCUUGGACAUCAGAUCAAAUUGAGGACUAGCUAAAACAGGGCUGGGGUGGAAGCAGCUUUCCAUCAGACAGCCCACCAGUGUGCAAUGUCAGUUGACCAUCGCCAUGGCAACGCCUGGGAGUUACUGCCCCUUUCCAUGGCAAUGACCCAAAGACCCAAAAUUCCCUAGGAAUGUCUGCAUAACCCACCCUUAAUCUGCAUGCAAUGAAAAGUAGGUAUCAAUAUGACUACAGAACUGCCCUGAGCUGCUACUCACUGCCUGUGGGUUAGCUCCACUCUGCAGGAGCAGUCCUGGAGCUGUAACUCCACUGCUUCAAUGAAACUUUCCUUCUACCUCUGCCUUGCCCUUAAAUUCUUUCCUGGGCAAAACCAAGUGUCUUCACAGGCUAAGCUCCACUUUGGGCUUGUCUGCCCUACAUCACCUUGAUCUUGGAUUCUUCAACCUCCAGAACUGUGAGAAAUAAAUUUCUGUUGCUUGGUAUUUUGUUCACACUGCAGGCACGGGCCCUUUGAGUUCCUCACCACUGAGCACUCUGCAUGUGUGUGUGCUGGACAUGUAAAUCAACUCUGCCUUUUCUUUCCUUUUUUUUUUUUUUUUUUUUUUUGAGACUGAUUCUUGCUCUGUCGCCAGGCUGGAGUGCAGUGGCAUGAUCUCAGCUCACUGCAACCUCCACCUCCCAGGUUCAAGCGACUCCCCAGCCUCAGCCUCCAGAGUAGCUGGGAAAACAGGCGCACGC